GCCGCUGAGCCGGCUGGGGUGGGCCUCGCGCUCGGCACACCUGGGGCAGGCUCCGCCCCCCGGGGCCCAGGUGCCCGCCGGCGGCCGCCGCUGCCGCAUCAAAGCUCACGGCUCGCGGGCUCUGCCUGCUCCUAGGCAGGCGUUCCGGAUCCCCGGUUCCUCCAGUUUGGGGUGCAAAGGAAUGGGGGAGCCCUGCUCUUCAGAGAGCACUAACUGUCCUCUGGGACCUGCCCUCAGCCCUGAAUCCCCUCCCUCGCCCUCCCUCGCCCCCUGCUCGCGUGGUGGUGGGCACCCUCCUCCUCACAGUCACCUCCACGUGUGCAGGUACCGCGAAGUAACAGUCAAGGUCUCAAACCGCUAGGGCUGAGAGUUCUAGGAGAACCUUCGGGAGUCAGCUGUCCCCUGUGGGGGCGGAGGGAGGCAGGAAUGAAUGCCAACUUGCCAGUAAACGCUUUCACCCACUGAGCGGAAUAUCGACGGCACCUGGAAUUUAAGCUUUGUACUUUCCAUCUUUGCAACAUCAUCAUCAAACUUUGAAGAGAUCAAAUGCAGUCUUCAGGCUUGGCAGCAAGCACCUUUAACCCCGGAGCCAUAUAACCGGCACCUCAACCACCACUGAGGCCCAGGGAACAUCACAAAAGAAGCAGAGGAAAGAAUUAUGAGAUCCAGGGGAUGGGGAAGAGUACUGUGAAACACUGUCUUCUAAACAGGACAUGGCCAUCACCCUCGUGAACUCAGACCGGCUGUGGCCAUGCCUGUGCGUGGUCAAGCCAGGAUGGUGCAGCGCGGAUGGUGCAGGGACGAGGGAGGCGAGGUCACUACUGCGGAAGUCACAGCAGCAAGGAAAGAGAACCAGCCUCGGAGCUCACCAACAGAUGAGUGGAUAAUGACGAUGUGACACUUACGUACAAUGGAAUUUUACUCAGCUAGAAAGAAACCAACAAAACGAUGAAAUCUGUCAGAAAUGGAUAGACCUAAAAAAGUAUGAAAGACAGAAAGUCUCAGAAAGACAGAAA
Long non-coding RNA from Meriones unguiculatus (Mongolian gerbil), 1016 nucleotides. RefSeq lists it as uncharacterized. The transcript has 3 exons. The record is from RefSeq and is a predicted model, not a curated record. NCBI's taxonomy places the organism in Eukaryota, Metazoa, Chordata, Mammalia, Rodentia, Muridae.